RNAcentral lists this ribosomal RNA (221 nucleotides) under uncultured Gardnerella sp. RNAcentral describes it as "partial 16S ribosomal RNA". It matches the Rfam family "Bacterial small subunit ribosomal RNA", at positions 134 to 354 of the family's 1533-position model. The record is from RNAcentral. Lineage: Bacteria; Bacillati; Actinomycetota; Actinomycetes; Bifidobacteriales; Bifidobacteriaceae.
UGCUCCAGAAUAGCUCUUGGAAACGGGUGGUAAUGCUGGAUGCUCCAACUUGACGCAUGUCUUGUUGGGAAAGUGUUUAGUGGCAUGGGAUGGGGUCGCGUCCUAUCAGCUUGUAGGCGGGGUAAUGGCCCACCUAGGCUUCGACGGGUAGCCGGCCUGAGAGGGCGGACGGCCACAUUGGGACUGAGAUACGGCCCAGACUCCUACGGGAGGCAGCAGAC